Molecule: non-coding RNA, 118 nt
Organism: Chelonoidis abingdonii (Abingdon island giant tortoise)
Lineage: Eukaryota; Metazoa; Chordata; Testudines; Testudinidae
Source: RefSeq, a predicted model, not a curated record
CAAUCCGGUAUUAAGAAAAGGCUUUGUAUUAAGAAAAGAAGGGUAAAAGAAACCCUCUGGAGAGAGAUUUAGCAUAGCCAGCUACUCUCACAGGCAAACAGAGUUCAAUCACAGAGGA